GCCACAAUCAUCAUUGGGGUAUCUAGUUUAAAAAAUGUGUCCGGUGAACCGGCCAACCAACCAAGAUGGCCGCCACGCCUAAAAAUAGAACAUAGGGGUAAAAUGCAGUUUUUGGCUUAUAACUCAAAAACCAAAGCAUUUAGAGCCAAUCUGACAUGGGUAAAAAAAUUUAUCGGGUCAAGAUCUAUCUGCCCUGAAAUUUUCAAAUGAAUCAGACAACCUGUUGUUGGGUUGCUGCCCCUGAAUUGGUAAUUUUAAGGAAAUUUUGCUGUUUUUGGUUAUUAUCUUGAAUAUUAUUAUAGAUAGAGAUAAACUGUAAACAGCAAUAAUGUACAGCAAAGUAAGACCUAAAAAGAAGUCAACAUGACCAAAAUGGUCAAUUGAUCCCUAAGGAGUUAUUGCCCUUUAUAUAGUCAUUUUUUUUAACAAUUUUCACAAAAUUUGUAAAAUUUUACUAACAUUUUCCACUGUAACUACUGGGUCAAGUUCAUAAUAGAUAGAGAUAAUUGUAAGCAGCAAGAAUGUUCAGUAAAGUAAGAUCUACAAACACAUCACCAUCACCAAACCACAAUUUUGUCUUGAAUCCAUCUGUGUCCUUUGUUUAGUAUUCACAUAGACCAAGGUGAGCGACACAGGCUCUUUAGAGCCUCUAGUUAUUU
This 659-nucleotide long non-coding RNA is filed under the name Mytilus galloprovincialis (Mediterranean mussel). The record is from RNAcentral. Lineage: Eukaryota; Metazoa; Mollusca; Bivalvia; Mytilida; Mytilidae.